This 525-nucleotide ribosomal RNA is filed under the name uncultured bacterium. RNAcentral's name for it is "partial 16S ribosomal RNA". It matches the Rfam family "Bacterial small subunit ribosomal RNA", at positions 355 to 893 of the family's 1533-position model. The record is from RNAcentral.
UGGGGAAUAUUGGACAAUGGGCGCAAGCCUGAUCCAGCCAUGCCGCGUGAGGUGAUGAAGGCCUUAGGGUUGUAAAGCUCUUUCGCCGACGAAGAUAAUGACGGUAGUCGGAGAAGAAGCCCCGGCUAACUUCGUGCCAGCAGCCGCGGUAAUACGAAGGGGGCCUAGCGUUGUUCGGAAUCACUGGGCGUAAAGCGCACGUAGGCGGAUUGUUAAGUCAGGGGUGAAAGCCUGGAGCUCAACUCCAGAACUGCCCUUGAUACUGGCAAUCUCGAGUCCGGAAGAGGUAAGUGGAACUGCGAGUGUAGAGGUGAAAUUCGUAGAUAUUCGCAAGAACACCAGUGGCGAAGGCGGCUUACUGGUCCGGUACUGACGCUGAGGUGCGAAAGCGUGGGGAGCAAACAGGAUUAGAUACCCCUGGGUAGUCCACGCCGUAAACGAUGGAGGCUAGCCGUUGGCGAGCAUGCUCGUCAGUGGCGCAGCUAACGCAUUAAGCCUCCCGCCUGGGGGAGUACGGUCGCAAGA